This 279-nucleotide ribosomal RNA is filed under the name uncultured bacterium. Its description in RNAcentral is "partial 16S ribosomal RNA". It matches the Rfam family "Bacterial small subunit ribosomal RNA", at positions 506 to 784 of the family's 1533-position model. The record is from RNAcentral.
UGCCAGCAGCCGCGGUAAUACGGAGGAUGCAAGCGUUAAUCGGAAUUACUGGGCGUAAAGCGUGUGUAGGCGGACUUUUAAGUCAGAUGUGAAAUCCCAAGGCUCAACCUUGGAACUGCAUUGGAAACUGGGAGUCUAGAGAUCAGGAGAGGUCAGCGGAAUACCGAGUGUAGAAGUGAAAUUCGUAGAUAUUCGGAGGAACACCAGUGGCGAAGGCGGCUCACUGGCUCGAUACUGACGCUGAGGUGCGAAAGCGUGGGGAGCAAACAGGAUUAGAUA